This 267-nucleotide long non-coding RNA is filed under the name Panicum hallii. RNAcentral describes it as "long non-coding RNA (PHAL_LNC000958)". Lineage: Eukaryota; Viridiplantae; Streptophyta; Magnoliopsida; Poales; Poaceae. The record is from RNAcentral.
GCGUACGUAAGUUUUUUCCUUCCCAACUGCUGCAGCACCAGGUAGCAUGCAGCACACGGCGGCACAGCCCCAACGCGCAAGAGCGAAGCUCACUAGAAGCUGGGGGAGAUUGCACACGUAGAUGUGUCUCUCUUUUUUUUUCUUCUAGUAUCCAUGGUGUUCUAUAGUACAUAUUUCAUGCAUUUCAAAAGCACUUGACAUUUCAACGUUCAAUGGGGAAAACAUUGAGCUAAUGUAGUCAACAUUUUGGUUUCACUAGCUCAUUCA